RNAcentral lists this ribosomal RNA (460 nucleotides) under uncultured bacterium. Its description in RNAcentral is "partial 16S ribosomal RNA". It matches the Rfam family "Bacterial small subunit ribosomal RNA", at positions 338 to 795 of the family's 1533-position model. The record is from RNAcentral.
CCUACGGGAGGCAGCAGUGAGGAAUAUUGGUCAAUGGACGAGAGUCUGAACCAGCCAAGUAGCGUGAAGGAUGACUGCCCUAUGGGUUGUAAACUUCUUUUAUAUGGGAAUAAAAUGUUCCACGUGUGGGAUUUUGUAUGUACCAUAUGAAUAAGGAUCGGCUAACUCCGUUCCAGCAGCCGCGGUAAUACGGGGGAUCCGAGCGUUAUCCGGAUUUUUUGGGUUUAAAGGGAGAGUAGGUGGAUUGUUAAGGCCGUUGUGAAAGUGUGCGGCUUAAACGUAAAAUUGCAGUUGAAACUGGCAGUCUUGAGUACAGUAGAGGUGGGCGGAAUGCGUGGUGUAGCGGUGAAAUGCAUAGAUAUCACGAAGAACUCCGAUUGCGAAGGCAGUUCACUGGACUGCAACUGACACUGAGGCUCGAAAGUGUGGGGAUCAAACAGGAUUAGAUACCCCAGUAGUC